Molecule: ribosomal RNA, 500 nt
Filed under: uncultured bacterium
Lineage: Bacteria
Description: partial 16S ribosomal RNA
Rfam family: Bacterial small subunit ribosomal RNA
Source: RNAcentral
AUUGAACGCUGGCGGCAUGCCUUACACAUGCAAGUCGAGCGGCAGCGCGGGGGCAACCCUGGCGGCGAGCGGCGAACGGGUGAGUAAUACAUCGGAACGUGUCCUGUCGUGGGGGAUAACCAGUCGAAAGAUUGGCUAAUACCGCAUUACCUCGUAAGAGAAAAGCGGGGGAUCGCAAGAUCUCGGCCGAUUGGAGCGGACGAUGUCGGAUGAGCUAGUUGGCGGGGUAAAAGCCCACCAAGGCGACGAUCCGUAGCUGGUUUGAGAGAACGACCAGCAACACUGGGACUGAGACACGGCCCAGACUCGUACGGGAGGCAGCAGUGGGGAAUUUUGGACAAUGGGGGCAACCCUGAUCCAGCCAUGCCGCGUGUGUGAAGAAGGCCUUCGGGUUGUAUAGCACUUUCGGCCGGAACGAAAUCGCGCGGGUGAACAUCCCGCGUGGAUGACGGUACCGGAAGAAGAAGCACCGGCUAACUACGUGCCAGCCGCCGCCGUAA